Molecule: long non-coding RNA, 611 nt
Organism: Hyaena hyaena (striped hyena)
Lineage: Eukaryota; Metazoa; Chordata; Mammalia; Carnivora; Hyaenidae
Exons: 2
Source: RefSeq, a predicted model, not a curated record
CGGGGGGCGCGGGGGGCCAGGCGCCUCUCCCCGCCCCGCGCCGCCGUCAGCAGGGAACCGCGGUCCCGCCCCGCGCUCGCCGACGCACCGCGGCCAUUUGGUACGAAUGGAUCCCGCUCGAUUUCUGGCUUCGCAGUAUCGGGGGAAGCAACACUCGAGCCCGGGCGCCCAGAGUCCUCUGUCGUGCAAGUCUCUGCACGCGCCGCGUGGGUCCAUCCAGUGACACAAACUCAAGCUGAUACGAGGCUCCUGCCCUCGGCUGGUCUCUGUGAGGGAGGGUUCGGCAUGGAGACCUGGAAAUGACACACUCUGUCUUCCGGCUGCCUCCGACCCUGCGCGGGAUUCUGCUUCGGCGAUGGCUGCAUUUGCUGCUGCUACUGUUGCUGCUACUUCUAGAGAGAGGUCUCCAGCAGCUUUGUCACUAGGCACAAAGCUGCUCACAUCUUAGUGUCCUGGACAGGAGUGUCACCCUGUGAACAGCGGAGGAAAGAAUGAGUUAGGAAGAGAGUGUGGUAAAUCCUGACACUUGGCAGAUUUCCGCGGGGAGGCCAGAUCCAGCAAUAAGUAUAACACCGGUAGAAGUGACGGUAACGAUAACGGCAUGUGCCUGA